Molecule: long non-coding RNA, 1176 nt
Organism: Astatotilapia calliptera (eastern happy)
Lineage: Eukaryota; Metazoa; Chordata; Actinopteri; Cichliformes; Cichlidae
Source: Ensembl
GAGACGUUAACAUAAAAGGUUCAGUUGGUGAUGCAUGAAAGAAAAUAAUUUUCUUCUAAAAAUCUAUUGGAGAAUUCUGAUUGUAAGAAAUGAAAAAUAUUCAAAGAGUGAAACUGUUUCACACAGUAGAAAUUUGUAUUCAUCGUUUAUAUUGGGGUUUUUUCUGAUUUUAGUGUUUAUUUGUGAGUGUAGUUUUUAUUUGCAUGAUUUUAUUCUGUUUGUAUCACAUUGUUUCAGUGUGUUAUUUUACAUUGUUUUAAUCCACUGUGGAUUGGCUGGCAAUGGGACAAAUUAGCUGAUAGAGAUCACAUGUUGAGGCAUGGGUGUGUCCAUAGGUGUCCUUUCAGCUUUUUAAAAGUCGUAUUAAAAGGAAGCAAGCUGAGCACUGGAAGGAGACAGGCCCUAGAUUGGAAGAGGAACGCAUGAAGGCCAGGUGGAAAAGAGGGCGCGAUGCGUGAUCGUGGGGGGUGCGAUGCCUCGUCUGGAGACCGGUCAGCGUGAUGUGGUGACCCAGUCCCGACAGCAGGAACGGCGACAGUAGGAGACAACGCAUGUGAUUGACAUCAGGGCAGAUGUACACCACUGCCUGCAUUUGUCAGUAGUGUCUCAUUGUUGUUCACUGGGUGCAGCCAUGUUGGGAGAGGGUCGCCAUGGCUAUAAGCCAGGGCCUCGCAAACGGAGGGCGCCCUUACUCCCAGCAAAUGGGUGAUAGAAAACCGAUCGGUGCCUGUACCAUUCCCAAUAUGCGCUGGCUGACGUCGGGGCAGCAUGAGUACGAGCAAUUUUUUUUUUUUUUUCUCGCCGAUGCCCAUGAUGCCGCCCCCCACCAAGAUGCCGCCCCGGGCAACCGCCCGUGUCGCCCGUUUAAAGAACCGCUACUGGCCGCGGUGGUAUCGAGCGACGGACUCCAAUGCAGAAUGCGAACUGGGCUGGGAUGUGAUGGGCCCAGUGGUGGGAUUUUUGUGCAUGAAGAGAAUUGUAUUUUUUGCCAGUUUUAGAAUAAUCUUAUCCAGUCUCAGUGGGAAUUUUAGCAUAUCGAGAAUAUUUCAUUAUAUACUUUUUUUCUUAGUAUCUGGUUUGUUCUAUUCCUGCUGUCCACCUCGUGGAAUAAAAAUGAAUGAAACAAUACUUUCCUGUCAAAAACAAUAUUUUAGUCAGGGCUAGCGGAAAGUUUCA